This 661-nucleotide ribosomal RNA is filed under the name Streptomyces cinnamoneus. RNAcentral's name for it is "partial 23S ribosomal RNA". It matches the Rfam family "Bacterial large subunit ribosomal RNA", at positions 1347 to 1894 of the family's 2925-position model. Lineage: Bacteria; Bacillati; Actinomycetota; Actinomycetes; Kitasatosporales; Streptomycetaceae. RNAcentral also lists the same sequence under 1 other name. The record is from RNAcentral.
UAAGGGUUCCUGGGUCAAGCUGAUCUGCCCAGGGUAAGUCGGGACCUAAGGCGAGGCCGACAGGCGUAGUCGAUGGACAACCGGUUGAUAUUCCGGUACCCGCUUUGAAACGCCCAAUAUCGAAUCAGGCGAUGCUAAGUCCGUGAAGCCGCCCUGGAGUCUUCGGACAAAGGGGAGUGGUGGAGCCGACGAACCAGACUUGUAGUAGGUAAGCGAUGGGGUGACGCAGGAAGGUAGUCCAGCCCGGGCGGUGGUAGUCCCGGGGUAAGGGUGUAGGCCGUGUGAUAGGCAAAUCCGUCACACAUUAAGSCUGAGACCUGAUGCCGAGCCGAUUGUGGUGAAGUGGAUGAUCCUAUGCUGUCGAGAAAAGCCUCUAGCGAGUUUCAUGGCGGCCCGUACCCUAAACCGACUCAGGUGGUCAGGUAGAGAAUACCGAGGCGUUCGGGUGAACUAUGGUUAAGGAACUCGGCAAAAUGCCCCCGUAACUUCGGGAGAAGGGGGGCCAUGUCUGGUGAGGGAACUUGCUUCCUGAGCUGGGUGUGGCCGCAGAGACCAGCGAGAAGCGACUGUUUACUAAAAACACAGGUCCGUGCGAAGCCGUAAGGCGAUGUAUACGGACUGACGCCUGCCCGGUGCUGGAACGUUAAGGGGACCGGUUAGC